RNAcentral lists this ribosomal RNA (492 nucleotides) under uncultured bacterium. Its description in RNAcentral is "partial 16S ribosomal RNA". It matches the Rfam family "Bacterial small subunit ribosomal RNA", at positions 29 to 507 of the family's 1533-position model. The record is from RNAcentral.
AGUGAACGCUGGCGGUAGGCCUAACACAUGCAAGUCGAACGGCAGCACAGUAAGAGCUUGCUCUUACGGGUGGCGAGUGGAGGACGGGUGAGGAAUACAUCGGACUCUACUUUUUCGUGGGGGAUAACGUAGGGAAACUUACGCUAAUCCCGCAUACGACCUACGGGUGAAAGCAGGGGUUCUUCGGACCUCGCGCGAUCGAAUGAGCCGAUGUCGGAUUAGCUAGUUGGCGGGGUAAAGCCCCACCAAGGCGACGAUCCGUAGCUGGUCUGAGAGGAUGAUCAGCCACACUGGAACUGAGACACGGUCCAGACUCCUACGGGAGGCAGCAGUGGGGAAUAUUGGACAAUGGGCGCAAGCCUGAUCCAGCCAUACCGCGUGGGGGAAGAAGGCCUUCGGGUUGUAAAGCCCUUUUGUUGGGAAAGAAAAGCAGCAGGUUAAUACCCCGCGGUUCUGACGGUACCCAAAGAAUAAGCACCGGCUAACUUCGUG